UCCAGACUCCUACGGGAGGCAGCAGUGGGGAAUAUUGCACAAUGGGGGAAACCCUGAUGCAGCGACGCCGCGUGGGUGAAGAAGUAUUUCGGUAUGUAAAGCCCUAUCAGCAGGGAAGAAGAAUGACGGUACCUGACUAAGAAGCACCGGCUAAAUACGUGCCAGCAGCCGCGGUAAUACGUAGGGGGCAAGCGUUAUCCGGAUUUACUGGGUGUAAAGGGAGCGUAGACGGCUGCGCAAGUCUGAAGUGAAAGCCCGGGGCUCAACCCCGGGACUGCUUUGGAAACUGUGUAGCUAGAGUGCUGGAGAGGCAAGCGGAAUUCCUAGUGUAGCGGUGAAAUGCGUAGAUAUUAGGAGGAACACCAGUUGCGAAGGCGGCUCUCUGGACUGUAACUGACACUGAGGCACGAAAGCGUGGGGAGCAAACAGGAUUAGAUACCCGGGUAGGC
Molecule: ribosomal RNA, 449 nt
Filed under: uncultured bacterium
Lineage: Bacteria
Description: partial 16S ribosomal RNA
Rfam family: Bacterial small subunit ribosomal RNA
Source: RNAcentral